This 194-nucleotide ribosomal RNA is filed under the name uncultured Paraglomus. RNAcentral's name for it is "partial 18S ribosomal RNA". It matches the Rfam family "Eukaryotic small subunit ribosomal RNA", at positions 569 to 766 of the family's 1831-position model. The record is from RNAcentral. Lineage: Eukaryota; Fungi; Glomeromycota; Glomeromycetes; Paraglomerales; Paraglomeraceae.
AGCAGCCGCGGUAAUUCCAGCUCCAAUAGCGUAUAUUAAAGUUGUUGCAGUUAAAAAGCCCGUAGUUGAACUUCAGACCUGGCUGGGUGGUCCGCUUAACGGCGAGUACUGUCUGGCUGGGCCUUACCUCUUGGUGAGCCGGCGUGUCCUUCACUGGGUGCGUCGGGGAACCAGGACUUUUACCUUGAGAAAAU